CAAUGAACAGUUCAAGCAGUGUGAGUUUUCCUGAUGUGCGGAAGUUUUUACAGACAGUUGUUUUGUCUCAUCUCAGGUGAAUAGUUUAUUAGUUGAAGUAAAGAUGAGUUCAGUCCAGAAUCUGAGAGAGUUGAUCAACCAGCGACUAACUGCUGCUGCUGAAGAAAUAUUCACAGAGUUUGAGAAAACCAUCGUCCAGUACGAGGAGGAGAUCGAUCGUCAGCGCAGACUGCUGGAUAACAUCUGGAAACCACAGAUAACACAACACACAGCAGCCCUCCCAUAGCAACAUACUUUAAGGAAGAGGAAGUUCUCGCCAACCAGCAGCUCUGUAACCAGGAGAGGAACUCCAGUCUGGACCAGGAGGAUGCAGAACCUGAAAUCUGAUAACUUUAUAAUCACUCCGUCUUACAAGGAAAGUGACCAUAGUGACCAAAGUGAACCAGAACCAAACUGUGACAAUGUUCCUAUAGGUGAGAGGCCAGAUUAAGAAGAAAGCAGGUAUGUAGAGUUAGGAUCAGCUAGAAAUGCAGAGCUGAAGCCAGAGAAGAAACAACAAGGAAACAGCAGUCAAAGUAACAAUGUAGACAACUCUGUCAUGUUGGAGUCACUGGGAUACUGACACAGGAAAACACAUCUAACACAUGAGGUCUGUGGAACAAUCUUUAGAUGUAUUUCCAGUUUAAAGACCCAUCACAGAAUCCACAUCCCUGAGAAGCCACUCGCUUGUGAAACAUGGGAAAUGUUUAAUUCAAAAAGGUGAUGUGAAAGUCCACACAGGUGAGAAGCUAUACAUGUGGAACACCUGUGGGAAAAGAUACAGUUGAAAGAAUUCUCUUUUGGUUCCCAUGAGAAUCCAUGCAGGAUCACAACAACUUAAGCCUUACCUUUGUAAGAAGUCGUACCCUUGUAACACCACUGGAAAAGGUUUCAGUGAAAAUGAUACUUUAAAAGCCCGUGUGAAGAUUCAGACAAAUGUAAGGUCAUAGUCUGGAAAUACCUGUCGGAAAAAUAAGCUUGAAAAUGGCAUUAAAAAAAUUAGCACAGAUUAAAAGUAGAUCUUCAAUAUUUAAAGUGCCUUUAGAUUAUGCUUCAUCAACAAUGGUGAGGUGUUUAAUCAGCUGAUCAUUAGAAACCCUCCCUGUUGGUGCUCCUAUAUCAGGGCAGUGCAGUAAAACAAUCCACGAAACAGAGCAGCUCCGUCUUAUGAUGCAUCAGCACAUUAGACCCAAGCAACAGUCAGUAACUAAUGUAUUUGACAUCUGAAAAAAAAAAAGUUGAGGAAAUACACUAUUGUUCAAAAGUGUGUGGUCGCCCAGGGAACUUCAUGUUUUCCAUGAAAACUCACUUUUAUCCAUGUGCUAACAUAACUGCACAAGGGUUUUCUAUGCAUCAAUUAGCCUUUCAACACCAUUAGCUAACACAAUGUAGCAUUAGAACACAGGAGUGAUGGUUGCUGGAAAUGUUCCUCUGUACCUCUAUGGAGAUAUUCCAUUAAAAAUCAGCUGUUUCCAGCUACAAUAGUCAUUUACCACAUUAACAAUGUCUACACUGGAUUUAUCAUUCAUGUAAUGUUAUCUUCAUUGAAAAUGCUUUUCUUUCCAAAAUAAGGACAUUUCUAAGUGACCUCAAACUUUUGAAAGGUGGUGCACACAAGAGUUCAUAGACCAGAUGAAGCCUGGACUCUGGUGGUGGUGGAGCAGCGUGAAGAACCAAACUGGAUGUGAUGAAGAUGGAUGUGAUGCAGAGCAGCACUCUUGAUGAGCUCACGGACACUGAUUCAGAUGAAGACUGGAGGUGGGUGAGAUGGAGGAGGGCUGCACCUGUUUGACACUUAAAUGAGAAUUGACAGCUCUAAGUCAAAUAAAAACACCAUGUAUCACUUCACUUGAGAUUAAAUGUGAAGAGGAGAGGAUGCUUCAUGUUUUUCCUUUACUGGCACAAUUUAGUUUUAUUAUAAACAACAGUAAUACAUUUUUUUUAUUAUCUGAGCACUUCAUUUUAAGUUUUGUUGUUUUGGUUCUUUUACAAUAAAGAGGUUAUAUUGAGGGAAAAUCCAUUUCAUUCAUUUUAUUGGUUUAUUUUUGCCCUGUUUUUUUGUUAAAAUUGUUCUUGCAAACUGAAGAAUUUUAGUGGUAUUGAUACCAGCUACCAAAUUUCUUGUAUUGUAAUAUUAUUUGCUGGAGUUCAUGCAGCCCCAGUGUCACUGCAGUAAAAAGAGGCAAACAGAUGCUGAGAUCCUGACAUUCAUGGAUAUUUUUCAGCAACAAGCAAGUCGAGUUCAACAGUAGGGAAAAAGCUUCCAGCAGCUUGUCAGUGUGUUUUUGAACAGAAAGUGUGGGUUUCCUGUCACUGUGGGCUCCUGAGCACGGCAGAGGAGGUCUGUGCAUGAAGUGCCUUUGAUUGUCUGUCAUGUUUGAAAGACAACCUUUCUAUUUUCUCUGAAUAUUCUGUGAUGAGGAGCUGUGGAGAUGAACUGGAUUUCUGCUACUGACAGAACCUGAAUAGUUGCAGGACAGAGAGUCACAGCGUCUCUUUCCAAAGCCAUCAAUGCAUCUUUACAUUGUCAGUAAAUCCUGUGGUCACCACUAUUUCUGCACUUUAAGGGUUGUUAAGGGGCCAUGAGCCAUUAAAUUUGAAGGUUAGAAUAAAUAUCUGGGGCUCCCCAUCAGUCAGUUGUGCAUUCAUAAUUCCAUAAAGUAUAUAUCGUGAAUAAUAAUCACAAUCACUGUUCCCUCUAAGCUGCGCGUGUGCGCAAUUGCGCACUGCUGAAGGCUGGAAUAUACUUUCCGCACGAACGAGCCGCACGGAAAUCCGUGCGAAAGAACGUGUGUGCAUUUAUACUCCGUGCGCAUCUGCUCCCAAACUGCAGGGGGCAGUGUAUCUCAAACACAUGUCUACCUGGUCUACUCUGGUACUAAACUAGAGAAGAAGAAGUUUGCCAUUGUUUACACCACUUACAACACGGCAUUUUACCGAAUAAAAGCACUUCAGCUGUUAGUUUUAAUUUCACACCAUGAAUAGUUCAUAACCCGGUUACCACGGUGAUCUCUGUGUGAUGAAUCAUAUAAGUGCACGUAUUUCUAGACUUCAGCUACGAAUAGGUCCUGGCCCUCCGCCAUGUUUUUCCGUGUGGCUCCGUCAGCGUUGGUUAGAAAAAUGUAGAGGUGCGCGGAGCGGAAAUUUUCCGCACGGAAAGGCCGCUGGAGGGGGCGUGGGUGCGAAAAUGACGUAAUUUUUCCGCACGGAGCCACACGGACCUCGCGGACGCGGUAAGCAUAAAACAAGCUUGACACGGUCUCCGCGCACAAAAAAUCUGCGCUGAGCAGAAAACAAAAAUCCAACCUAAAUUGUAAAUAAAAUAAAGACGUAACAAUUCAUUCUGUGCUAUUUUUCAAUGUGAGUCAGUGAGUGACCGGUGACUGGCUGCUGCAGCCAAUGAUGCGAUUCACAUACGUAUUUACCAUAGACUGUAUAUAAUGGUAUUUACGCAGCUAAUCAACGUCAGGCGUCCUGAUGUGCAGCCAUCGUUGUUCUCAUAGAUACGAAUGAGUAGAUAGGACACGCCCCUUUGAGCUGCGUGCUACAGCGAGGCUAAGCUAGUGGGGGAAAAGUUUCAGUGCAUUCCGUUGAUGUAGACGGCAUGAAAACGGAAACAACAAGUAUGCCGGCUAACUGUGCUGCAUACAAUUACACACUGCAUCGUACGAUUGAGACAAGGAAACUUGGAAUGACUUUUCAUAGGUUUCCCAGAGACUAUGGGUUGAUGAGGAAGUGGAAGUUUGUCGGCUUAGACCUGUGUCAUUCCAUCAGUGUUAAACUUCCCGGCUCAUCUUGGAAGAGUACGUGCCAGAAAGACCACGACCAAGCAGCCUUGAGAUCUUAGACAGCGUCUCCCUGAGGUCCCUCUCUAUCUCCCCACACAUCCACCAACCACUGGAACUCAUCUCCAAAGUUCUGCUGGGCCAGCUCAGCUUCCCCUCAGAAGAAGUGCCGCCACCUGCCAGAUAAAGGAGCCUUUUGAGAGGCAGCUGGCAUCGUGAUUGGACUGUACUUUGGUCUGUUCCAAUCCAGCUUCAGCUCCAGAGACGGCAGGCGGGACGAGUCAACGGAGGCCUGGUGGACGAAGGCAUGCAGCUGAGUACAAUCCAGAAAACAACAGAAGAGGAGUGCAGCAGACCAGAGCCAGAACAACCAGAGUAGCAUCACCAAAGAACUACAGACUCUUCACAACCUGCUCAAACUCUUGGUACAGGACCUCACCACACGGGUCAAGAAGGUUUCCAUCUCAUUUCUACUCUGAAGCUCACCUUCUCCUGCUCAAACUACUGACAAAUGUUUCUGCUGCUCUAAAGUCUGGUCUCCAGAACUUCCUAAAAACCCUCAAAGUCUCGUCUGCUGCAGGUUGCUUUGUAGAACUGUUCCAGAAAACCUCACUAAACCACAUGGAGGGGCCUCAAGAUAGUCGUCCAAAUGAAACCAUACAAAAACCAGACUAGUACAACCCAAACACUAAAGUCUCCUGCAGCCUACCAGAGAACCUCUGAGAACAGAGAAUCAGGACAGGAACUCUUACCUUCUGGACAACCAACGCUGGUUCACAAACAAGAAUACAGAAUGUGUCUGACCAAAAACCUCUGAAGACUCACUACAGCCAAGAUAAAGACACAACUCAGCUGCACCAAAUCCACUAAUCACUGCACACAUUAGCACCAUGUGCUAACUGUGACUAAAGAACCUCAUUUACCAAGACAACUAUCCAGUACAAAGCCCUAAAACACACCAAGAAACACAUUAAAGAUGAUUUUACUGCUGGAAGCUGCAAGCCAACACCUAAAGCACAAACUAAAGCAAAGGAGCCAAACCCGGUUCACUGGUGAAGAGAAACAGAGGAAAUGUUUUUCUGCAGCUAAAUAAAGCAGGAAGACACUGAGCUGCUCAGGUGUUCCUGAUAACACCAAGCUGCUCAGGUGUUCCUGAUAACACCAAGCAGCCACCUGGACAGCCAAUAGGAACACAGCUUCCUGGAAGUCCAGAGGGCGGGGUUAGUGAAGGAAAUUUAAUUUAAAGUUGAAGCAGAAAGUUAACAAAGAAAGUUGAGAACCACCUUCUGAUACCUGAAAUCUCUGAGUUUUCACUCAAAGAACACCUGAACAUGUCAAACUGGUUCCAUAGUAGAACCAUCAUUGUAAAAACGUCAUAGUAUGGUGUGUUGCUCAAAAAACAUUAUGACCCGGCUGUCAGGGGACAAACAUGUAAGAAACAUGAGAACAGAGAGAACCCAACCAGUAGGUCACAGUUUAUCAUCAUCUAAUCAUCUCCUGAAGUCCAUAUGGUGAGAGACAUCAGUAUCUGGUUGUUAAUUUACCAGAGGAUGCUUAUAAUCAUGCUGAUGUGGUCUGUACUCUACAGUAUUUUAGUGACUCAAUAAAUGCCUACGUUUUUUUUUUUUUUAAUGCUUUUCAGUUUUUAAUAAACAUUUAAGAGCCUAUAUGUAAUCAAUAAAUGACCUUUGCCUAUCUUAAGAAAAAUUCACUCAGAACUCUGAUAUGUUAACAGUACUAAAUAAAUCAAUAAAUACAUGCAUACACACAAAAAUAAGUUAAUACAUUAACUGUGUUAAGAUAAGAUUUAGAUUUUUUUUUAAAAAGUUGUUUAUGUUUUUACAGAAUCCAGUAUUGCUCACUGGUUGGUCAUUACAUUUUAUUAGUUUGAUUUCACUGUUUAAAAUGAUGCCACCUCUUUUCAGACAGAACCUGUGAUAAUAAAACAAUACUAAAUUUUUAGUUCCGUGUUAAUAAAGUACUUAAAGCUUUAAGUAUGGCUAAAUGCUUUUUUCAAAAUUAAAUAUAUCACUACUUAGGUGGUAGUGGCCCCAAGUUCAGUAAAGUUGGAAAGAUAUUCACAGAUUCAGACUUCCAGCAUCAAUAACUCAUUAGAUAUAGGUUGUCAAAACAUAAACGGUGCCUCUUUCCCAUUGUUGCAAGGCAGACAAUGUGCUACAAGCCCAGUUUUAUCAAAAGUAGCUGUCUUUCAAGCUACAGGAAUAACAUUGGUGUCUAUGGAGUGAACAGGGUCCGUCUGCAAUUUGCAAAACCGCUGCAACAGUAAAGAGAGACAAAUAUUCAAUAACUUCACUCUUAUACAUUGUAGUGUCACUAAAAUCACUGCAGCCUUCAACUGGCUCCUGUUGACAAAGUGUUUUAACAGAAAUGUAAAUGCUGUAAUUUGAUUCUUUUAAUAAACCAUGUAACUUGAA
Molecule: long non-coding RNA, 6259 nt
Organism: Amphiprion ocellaris (clown anemonefish)
Lineage: Eukaryota; Metazoa; Chordata; Actinopteri; Pomacentridae
Exons: 5
Source: RefSeq, a predicted model, not a curated record